RNAcentral lists this ribosomal RNA (253 nucleotides) under uncultured bacterium. Its description in RNAcentral is "partial 16S ribosomal RNA". It matches the Rfam family "Bacterial small subunit ribosomal RNA", at positions 524 to 776 of the family's 1533-position model. The record is from RNAcentral.
GACAGAGGGUGCAAUCGUUGUUCGGAUUUACUGGGCGUAAAGCGCGUGUAGGCGGCUUGGCAAGUUGGAUGUGAAAGCCCACGGCUCAACCGUGGAAGCGCAUCCAAAACUGCUCCGCUAGAGUCUCGUAGAGGAAGGUGGAAUGCUUGGUGUAGAGGUGAAAUUCGUAGAUAUCAAGCAGAACACCUGCGGCGAAGGCGGCCUUCUGGACGAUGACUGACGCUGAGACACGAAAGCGUGGGGAGCAAACAGG